Molecule: ribosomal RNA, 995 nt
Filed under: Microbacterium sp.
Lineage: Bacteria; Bacillati; Actinomycetota; Actinomycetes; Micrococcales; Microbacteriaceae
Description: bacterial SSU rRNA
Rfam family: Bacterial small subunit ribosomal RNA
Source: RNAcentral
GCAGUCGAACGGUGAACACGGAGCUUGCUCUGUGGGAUCAGUGGCGAACGGGUGAGUAACACGUGAGCAACCUGCCCCUGACUCUGGGAUAAGCGCUGGAAACGGCGUCUAAUACUGGAUAUGUGACGUGACCGCAUGGUCUGCGUCUGGAAAGAAUUUCGGUUGGGGAUGGGCUCGCGGCCUAUCAGCUUGUUGGUGAGGUAAUGGCUCACCAAGGCGUCGACGGGUAGCCGGCCUGAGAGGGUGACCGGCCACACUGGGACUGAGACACGGCCCAGACUCCUACGGGAGGCAGCAGUGGGGAAUAUUGCACAAUGGGCGCAAGCCUGAUGCAGCAACGCCGCGUGAGGGACGACGGCCUUCGGGUUGUAAACCUCUUUUAGCAGGGAAGAAGCGAAAGUGACGGUACCUGCAGAAAAAGCGCCGGCUAACUACGUGCCAGCAGCCGCGGUAAUACGUAGGGCGCAAGCGUUAUCCGGAAUUAUUGGGCGUAAAGAGCUCGUAGGCGGUUUGUCGCGUCUGCUGUGAAAUCCGGAGGCUCAACCUCCGGCCUGCAGUGGGUACGGGCAGACUAGAGUGCGGUAGGGGAGAUUGGAAUUCCUGGUGUAGCGGUGGAAUGCGCAGAUAUCAGGAGGAACACCGAUGGCGAAGGCAGAUCUCUGGGCCGUAACUGACGCUGAGGAGCGAAAGGGUGGGGAGCAAACAGGCUUAGAUACCCUGGUAGUCCACCCCGUAAACGUUGGGAACUAGUUGUGGGGUCCAUUCCACGGAUUCCGUGACGCAGCUAACGCAUUAAGUUCCCCGCCUGGGGAGUACGGCCGCAAGGCUAAAACUCAAAGGAAUUGACGGGGACCCGCACAAGCGGCGGAGCAUGCGGAUUAAUUCGAUGCAACGCGAAGAACCUUACCAAGGCUUGACAUAUACGAGAACGGGCCAGAAAUGGUCAACUCUUUGGACACUCGUAAACAGGUGGUGCAUGGUUGUCGUCAGCUCGU